Molecule: long non-coding RNA, 441 nt
Filed under: Amborella trichopoda
Lineage: Eukaryota; Viridiplantae; Streptophyta; Magnoliopsida; Amborellales; Amborellaceae
Description: long non-coding RNA (ATRI_LNC000306)
Source: RNAcentral
UUUAAUUUAAAAGACAUGAAUAAUUGUGACCUUUACUUACAAAACAUAAAUAGUCCCCUCACGUACCAUCCCAAUUUCGUGCUACUGUUGACAUGACUCCGAGGGGUCAAGCUAUCCAAACACCACCUGCAGCUUACGUUAAUCGGUCUUCUUUGGGGGAGGGGAAUCCAAAUGGUUUAUCAAAGCUGGAGGGAGCCAAGGAUGCUUUACAAGAGUAUCUAAAUAUGAUAAAUCCUUUAUCUGUUAGGGUUUCAAAGGGAUAUUUGAGGCCUGUUGAGUCUUUAAUAGCCUGCUGCAAUGGUGGAAGAGAGAAACACUGGUUAGUAGUUGUGAGAGAGAAGCAGUUGCACCACCACCACCUCCACCUCCACCUCCACCUCCACCUCCACCUCCACCUCAGGUGGUUUUUGGAAAAAUAUGAGGACAAGUGGUUUGACACAG